GAUGAACGCUAGCGAUAGGCUUAACACAUGCAAGUCGAGCGGCAGCAUGGUCUUAGCUUGCUAAGACUGAUGGCGACCGGCGCACGGGUGCGUAACGCGUAUGCAACCUGCCUCACAGAGGGGGAUAACCCGUCGAAAGACGGACUAAUACCGCGUACACUCCAUCUUGGGCAUCCACGGUAGAGGAAAUGAAAUUCGCUGUGAGAUAGGCAUGCGUCCCAUUUGCUAGUUGGGGAGGUAACGGCUCACCAAGGCGAGGAUGAGUAGGGGAACUGAGAGGUUGAACCCCCGCACGAGUACUGGGACACGGACCAUGCGCCUGCGGGAGGCAGCAGUGAGGAAUAGUAGUCAAUAGGCGAGAGUCUGAGACAGCCAAGGCGCGUGAAGGAUGGCUGUCUUAUGGAUUGUAAGCUUCUUUUAGACGGGAAAAGCAAGAGUCACGUGUGACUCACUGCAUGUACCGUAUGAAUAAGCAUCGGCUAACUCCGUG
This 490-nucleotide ribosomal RNA is filed under the name uncultured bacterium. Its description in RNAcentral is "partial 16S ribosomal RNA". It matches the Rfam family "Bacterial small subunit ribosomal RNA", at positions 28 to 507 of the family's 1533-position model. The record is from RNAcentral.